Molecule: non-coding RNA, 123 nt
Organism: Picea glauca (white spruce)
Lineage: Eukaryota; Viridiplantae; Streptophyta; Pinopsida; Pinales; Pinaceae
Source: Rfam
GUAUAUGACCACAACAAAGCGUUAAUGCAUUGGAUCUUAUUAGAACUUCGCAAUUAAAUGCACUCAGGCUAGAGUAGUACUGGGAUGGGUGACCGCCCGAGAAUUCCUACAGUUUUACAUGCC